UGCAGUCGAGGGGUAUAGUUCUUCGGAAUUAGAGACCGGCGCACGGGUGCGUAACGCGUAUGCAAUCUACCUUUCACAGAGGGAUAGCCCAGAGAAAUUUGGAUUAAUACCUCAUAGUAUAGCAGUUUCGCAUGAAACCACUAUUAAAGAUUUAUCGGUGAAAGAUGAGCAUGCGUCCCAUUAGUUAGUUGGUAAGGUAACGGCUUACCAAGACAACGAUGGGUAGGGGUCCUGAGAGGGAGAUCCCCCACACUGGUACUGAGACACGGACCAGACUCCUACGGGAGGCAGCAGUGAGGAAUAUUGGACAAUGGGCGCAAGCCUGAUCCAGCCAUGCCGCGUGCAGGAUGACGGUCCUAUGGAUUGUAAACUGCUUUUAUACGAGAAGAAACACUCCGACGUGUCGGAGCUUGACGGUAUCGUAAGAAUAAGGAUCGGCUAACUCCGUGCCAG
Molecule: ribosomal RNA, 453 nt
Filed under: Flavobacterium sp. Lake-D61
Lineage: Bacteria; Pseudomonadati; Bacteroidota; Flavobacteriia; Flavobacteriales; Flavobacteriaceae
Description: bacterial SSU rRNA
Rfam family: Bacterial small subunit ribosomal RNA
Source: RNAcentral